UUCACCAUGUGCAGAGUGGUUAGCGUGUCGUUCUUAUAAUGCGAAAGUCGUGGGUUCGACACCCACCUGGAGUAU
This is a non-coding RNA of Monilinia vaccinii-corymbosi, 75 nucleotides long. The record is from the annotation of a GenBank genome assembly. NCBI's taxonomy places the organism in Eukaryota, Fungi, Ascomycota, Leotiomycetes, Helotiales, Sclerotiniaceae.